This 305-nucleotide ribosomal RNA is filed under the name uncultured bacterium. Its description in RNAcentral is "bacterial SSU rRNA". It matches the Rfam family "Bacterial small subunit ribosomal RNA", at positions 335 to 657 of the family's 1533-position model. The record is from RNAcentral.
AGUCCUACGGGACGCAGCAGUGGGGGAUAUUGCACAAUGGGGGGAACCCUGAUGCAGCGACGCCGCGUGGGUGAAGAAGCGCCUCGGCGCGUAAAGCCCUGUCAGCAGGGAAGAAAAUGACGGUACCUGAAGAAGAAGCCCCGGCUAACUACGUGCCAGCAGCCGCGGUAAUACGUAGGGGGCAAGCGUUAUCCGGAUUUACUGGGGGUAAAGGGGGCGCAGACGGUGAUGCAAGCCAGGAGUGAAAGCCCGGGGCCCAACCCCGGGACGGCUCUUGGAACGGCGGGGCUGGAGUGGAGGAGGGG